GGCCGAUGAAAGAUUCUAAGUGUUGGAGGGUUUCCGCCCUUCAGUGCUGCAGCUAACGCAUUAAGUAAUCCGCCUGGGGAGUACGACCGCAAGGUUGAAACUCAAAAGAAUUGACGGGGGCCCGCACAAGCGGUGGAGCAUGUGGUUUAAUUCGAAGCUACGCGAAGAACCUUACCAGGUCUUGACAUCUUCUGCCAACCUAAGAGAUUAGGCGUUCCCUUCGGGGACAGAAUGACAGGUGGUGCAUGGUUGUCGUCAGCUCGUGUCGUGAGAUGUUGGGUUAAGUCCCGCAACGAGCGCAACCCUUAUUACUAGUUGCCAGCAUUCAGUUGGGCACUCUAGUGAGACUGCCGGUGACAAACCGGAGGAAGGUGGGGACGACGUCAAAUCAUCAUGCCCCUUAUGACCUGGGCUACACACGUGCUACAAUGGAUGGUACAACGAGUUGCGAAACCGCGAGGUUUAGCUAAUCUCUUAAAACCAUUCUCAGUUCGGACUGUAGGCUGCAACUCGCCUACACGAAGUCGGAAUCGCUAGUAAUCGCGGAUCAGCAUGCCGCGGUGAAUACGUUCCCGGGCCUUGUACACACCGCCCGUCACACCAUGAGAGUUUGUAACACCCAAAGCCGGUGGGGUAACCUUUUAGGAGCUAGCCGUCUAAGGUGGGACAGAUGAUUAGGGUGAAGUCGUACAAAGGGUAACCAAAAGUUGGGGGGGAAAACCGGGGGGUUUUA
Molecule: ribosomal RNA, 733 nt
Filed under: Pediococcus acidilactici
Lineage: Bacteria; Bacillati; Bacillota; Bacilli; Lactobacillales; Lactobacillaceae
Description: bacterial SSU rRNA
Rfam family: Bacterial small subunit ribosomal RNA
Source: RNAcentral